Molecule: ribosomal RNA, 201 nt
Filed under: uncultured bacterium
Lineage: Bacteria
Description: partial 16S ribosomal RNA
Rfam family: Bacterial small subunit ribosomal RNA
Source: RNAcentral
GCAGGCUGCAACUCGCCUGCAUGAAGCUGGAAUUGCUAGUAAUCGCGGAUCAGCAAGCCGCGGUGAAUACGUUCCCGGGCCUUGUACGCACCGCCCGUCACACCAUGAGAGUCGGGAACACCCGAAGUCCGUAGUCUAACCGCAAGGGGGGCGCGGCCGAAGGUGGGUCCGGUAAUUGGGGUGAAGUCGUAACAAGGUAUC